AGCGAACGCUGGCGGCAGGCUUAACACAUGCAAGUCGAGCGGGCAUAGCAAUAUGUCAGCGGCAGACGGGUGAGUAACGCGUGGGAACGUACCUUUUGGUUCGGAACAACUGAGGGAAACUUCAGCUAAUACCGGAUAAGCCCUUACGGGGAAAGAUUUAUCGCCGAAAGAUCGGCCCGCGUCUGAUUACCUAGUUGGUGAGGUAAUGGCUCACGAAGGCGACGAUCAGUAGCUGGUCUGAGAGGAUGAUCAGCCACAUUGGGACUGAGACACGGCCCAAACUCCUACGGGAGGCAGCAGUGGGGAAUAUUGGACAAUGGGCGCAAGCCUGAUCCAGCCAUGCCGCGUGAGUGAUGAAGGCCCUAGGGUUGUAAAGCUCUUUUGUGCGGGAAGAUAAUGACGGUACCGCAAGAAUAAGCCCCGGCUAACUUCGUGCCAGCCGCCGCCGUAA
This 451-nucleotide ribosomal RNA is filed under the name uncultured bacterium. RNAcentral describes it as "partial 16S ribosomal RNA". It matches the Rfam family "Bacterial small subunit ribosomal RNA", at positions 29 to 523 of the family's 1533-position model. The record is from RNAcentral.